Pelobates cultripes (western spadefoot toad) is the source of this 92-nucleotide non-coding RNA. The record is from the annotation of a GenBank genome assembly. Lineage: Eukaryota; Metazoa; Chordata; Amphibia; Anura; Pelobatidae.
GUGUGUGUGUGUGUGUGUGUGUGUGUGUGUGUGUGUGUAUAUAUAUAUAUACAUAUAUAUAUACACACACACACACACACAUACAUACACUG